GAUAUCGCGCUCACAAGUAUGCGAUAGACGAGAUAAGUGUGCAUAUUUUACAAACGUUGGCGCCAUUUAUCAUAGACAUCAAUAAUCCCCAAAUGAAUCGCGCUAAGCCCUUUUUGACCGGGACUGUGGACGUGACCUGGAGUGAUUUCAAGGAGCAAGCGCAAGACAGGGUCAAGAGGAGACAGCUUGUGAGGGAUGUACCAUGAUGUACGGAUGUACUAAUGGGGCACCGUAGGACUAUAACAGCAACAGCAAAUCAAACUAACUAGCAUGUCAAAAAUCUGUAGGAUGAAACAAAUAUCAGAAAUAAUAAAAGGAAUUUAAU
Bombyx mori (domestic silkworm) is the source of this 325-nucleotide long non-coding RNA. RefSeq lists it as uncharacterized. The transcript has 2 exons. The record is from RefSeq and is a predicted model, not a curated record. Lineage: Eukaryota; Metazoa; Arthropoda; Insecta; Lepidoptera; Bombycidae.